GGAUGGGAGGGGGAUCUGGCUUUGACAUCUGUCACCCUAUUCAUUGUCAGGGUUGAGCAAGCUGGCUAGACAGGCAUCCCCUUCCUCCCUCAAGUUCCUUGUUCCUCUUUCCUUGAAGCUAUGCACUUGGUCAAGGAGGACGGCCUUCCCCACAGAGGAGACUGUUCUUCAGGCCUGGCAUAGGAGUAGCUGCACUCCCCUGCUAGAACUUCCAAACUAGAGUCAAGUCAGGAGCUGGGCACUUUGGCAGACACCUAUAAUCCCAGCAUU
Molecule: small nuclear RNA, 270 nt
Filed under: Castor canadensis (American beaver)
Lineage: Eukaryota; Metazoa; Chordata; Mammalia; Rodentia; Castoridae
Description: 7SK RNA (ENSCCNG00000010028.1)
Rfam family: 7SK RNA
About the family: 7SK was discovered as an abundant small nuclear RNA in the mid-70s but a possible function has only recently been suggested. Two independent studies have found that 7SK RNA binds the CDK9/cyclin T complex (known as elongation factor P-TEFb). P-TEFb activates transcription by phosphorylating the C-terminal domain of RNA polymerase II.
Source: RNAcentral